Molecule: ribosomal RNA, 254 nt
Filed under: uncultured bacterium
Lineage: Bacteria
Description: partial 16S ribosomal RNA
Rfam family: Bacterial small subunit ribosomal RNA
Source: RNAcentral
UACGAAGGGGGCUAGCGUUGCCCGGAAUCACUGGGCGUAAAGCGCACGUAGGCGGAUUGUUAAGUCAGGGGUGAAAUCCUGGAGCUCAACUCCAGAACUGCCUUUGAUACUGGCAAGCUUGGAGUCCGGGAGAGGUGAGUGGAACUGCGAGUGUAGAGGUGAAAUUCGUAGAUAUUCGCAAGAACACCAGUGGCGAAGGCGGCUCACUGGCCCGGUACUGACGCUGAGGUGCGAAAGCGUGGGGAGCAAACAGG